Molecule: ribosomal RNA, 465 nt
Filed under: uncultured bacterium
Lineage: Bacteria
Description: partial 16S ribosomal RNA
Rfam family: Bacterial small subunit ribosomal RNA
Source: RNAcentral
CCUACGGGAGGCUGCAGUGGGGAAUUUUGCGCAAUGCUCGUAAGAGUGACGCAGCGACGCCGCGUGAAUGACGAAGGCCUUCGGGUCGUACAGUUCUUUCGACAGGGAAGAAAAUGCCUAUAAGUAACUGUGUAUGUCUUGACGGUACCUGUAUAAGCAGCCCCGGCUAACUCCGUGCCAGCAGCCGCGGUAAUACGGAGGGGGCGAGCGUUGUUCGGUGGGACUGGGCGUAAAGGGCACGUAGGCUGUGUUGUAAGUCAUUAGUCAAAGACUAGAGAUCAACUUUAGUAAGGCUAGUGAUAAUAUAUAACUAGAGUAUCAGAGAGGAUAGCAGAAUUCCUGGUGUAGCGGUGAAAUGCGUAGAUAUCAGGAGGAAUACCGGUAGCGAAGGCGGAAAUCUGGCUGGAAACUGACGCUGAGGUGCGAAAGCGUGGGUAGCAAACAGGAUUAGAUACCCGUGUAGUC